RNAcentral lists this ribosomal RNA (253 nucleotides) under uncultured bacterium. RNAcentral describes it as "partial 16S ribosomal RNA". It matches the Rfam family "Bacterial small subunit ribosomal RNA", at positions 524 to 776 of the family's 1533-position model. The record is from RNAcentral.
UACAGAGGUCCCAAGCGUUGUUCGGAUUCACUGGGCGUAAAGGGUGCGCAGGUGGUCGGGUAAGUCUGACGUGAAAUCCCGCAGCUUAACUGCGGAAUGGCAUUGGAUACUAUUCGGCUAGAGGGUUGGAGGGGGGACUGGAAUUCUCGGUGUAGCAGUGAAAUGCGUAGAUGUCGAGAGGAACACCAGUGGCGAAGGCGAGUCCCUGGACAACUCCUGACGCUGAGGCACGAAAGCUAGGGGAGCAAACAGG